Molecule: long non-coding RNA, 242 nt
Filed under: Populus tremula
Lineage: Eukaryota; Viridiplantae; Streptophyta; Magnoliopsida; Malpighiales; Salicaceae
Description: long non-coding RNA (PTRE_LNC000795)
Source: RNAcentral
UCAAAUUCCCUACAAUUGGUAUCAGAGCUGAAGGUUUUAGUGGUGUUUGAUUUUUUGCUCAAAAAUGCAAAUUGUCAAAAUGAAGUUUUGACCAUACCAUCGUGUAGAGGAGGACGAUACGAAGCCACUGGUGAAAACGGCGUCAAAAUCGGACGUCGGACAUGGCCGCACUCUCCAUCACUCUCUGGCAAGGCGUUUGCCCACGCGCACAGACGCGCCCCACGCGUCUUCUUCACCCGGAU